Molecule: long non-coding RNA, 601 nt
Organism: Trachemys scripta elegans
Lineage: Eukaryota; Metazoa; Chordata; Testudines; Emydidae
Exons: 4
Source: RefSeq, a predicted model, not a curated record
GUGCACCUUAGGAUCCAGCCUUUAAUUAUAUCUUUCCCAUGUUUACAUGAACUUUAGUUUGCUUUUCAAAAGCCUCAUGGAACAAUUCCUGCAGCUGACCUGUGUGUAGUGGUGAAUUUCUCCAUAAAGGCAGUCUGAACUGGAAAUGAAGAAUAUUAAAUUGAAAUGCUUACUGCUGGAGAGUCUUGUAGAGAAGAAACCUAAAUUCUGACCUCAAAGAAGUGAGUGAGGAAUGGAGGGCGAAGUUAAACUACAAUCAACAUUUCCUUGCAGAGUUCCAGCACCUGCUUACAGAUCACAUCAGGUUUAAUGCCAGCUCUGACCAAAACAAAGAAUUCUGAAAAUAUUAUCUUCAGAUUUUACAUUUGUCUUCCUGUUUGAAGAGAAGCCAGGAAUGCCAGAGUCCUUCCUUGCAGCAGAAGGACUUGCACAAAGGCUAAUUUAACUAGCUUGCUAAACUUUCGGCUAAGGUCAUUGUGCCACUUCCUGUAUCCUGUUUUCUAGUCCCAUUCAAGCUUCCUAUCAAUUGUUGACAAGAAGUUUGUUGAUGAACAUACCCUGAGAGGACCAUAAACCAAUUAGUGGAGCAAAUAAAAAGGUU